RNAcentral lists this ribosomal RNA (394 nucleotides) under uncultured bacterium. RNAcentral describes it as "bacterial SSU rRNA". It matches the Rfam family "Bacterial small subunit ribosomal RNA", at positions 28 to 429 of the family's 1533-position model. The record is from RNAcentral.
GACGAACGCUGGCGGCGUGCUUAAUACAUGCAAGUCGAGCGGUAAGGCCCUUUCGGGGGUACACGAGCGGCGAACGGGUGAGUAACACGUGGGUGACCUGCCCUCAGCUCUGGGAUAAGCCUGGGAAACCGGGUCUAAUACUGGAUAUGACUCCAUGACGCAUGUUGUGGGGUGGAAAGCCUUGUGCGGCUGAGGAUGGGCCCGCGGCCUAUCAGCUUGUUGGUGGGGNGAUGGCCUACCAAGGCGACGACGGGUAGCCGGCCUGAGAGGGCGACGGCCACACUGGGACUGAGACACGGCCCAGACUCCUACGGGAGGCAGCAGUGGGGAAUCUUGCGCAAUGGGCGAAAGCCUGACGCAGCGACGCCGCGUGAGGGAUGACGGCCUGUGUAAC